Molecule: ribosomal RNA, 257 nt
Filed under: uncultured bacterium
Lineage: Bacteria
Description: partial 16S ribosomal RNA
Rfam family: Bacterial small subunit ribosomal RNA
Source: RNAcentral
UACGGGGGGAGCAAGCGUUGUUCGGAUUUACUGGGCGUAAAGGGCGCGUAGGCGGUCGUGACAAGUCACUUGUGAAAUCUCCGGGCUUAACUCGGAACGGUCAAGUGAUACUGUCGGACUAGAGUACAGAAGGGGCAACUGGAAUUCUCGGUGUAGCGGUGAAAAUGCGUAGAUAUCAAGAGGAACACCAGUGGCGAAGGCGAGUCCCUGGACAAUACCUGACACUGAGGCACGAAAGCCGGGGGAGGCAAAACAGG